RNAcentral lists this ribosomal RNA (484 nucleotides) under uncultured bacterium. Its description in RNAcentral is "partial 16S ribosomal RNA". It matches the Rfam family "Bacterial small subunit ribosomal RNA", at positions 30 to 507 of the family's 1533-position model. The record is from RNAcentral.
AUUGAACGCUGGCGGCGGGCCUAACACAUGCAAGUCGAGCGGAUGAAGGGAGCUUGCUCCUGGAUUCAGCGGCGGACGGGUGAGUAAUGCCUAGGAAUCUGCCUGGUAGGGGGGGAUAACGUCCGGAAACGGGCGCUAAUACCGCAUACGUCCUGAGGGAGAAAGUGGGGGAUCUUCGGACCUCACGCUAUCAGAUGAGCCUAGGUCGGAUUAGCUAGUUGGUGGGGUAAAGGCCUACCAAGGCGACGAUCCGUAACUGGUCUGAGAGGAUGAUCAGUCACACUGGAACUGAGACACGGUCCAGACUCCUACGGGAGGCAGCAGUGGGGAAUAUUGGACAAUGGGCGAAAGCCUGAUCCAGCCAUGCCGCGUGUGUGAAGAAGGUCUUCGGAUUGUAAAGCACUUUAAGUUGGGAGGAAGGGCAGUGAGUUAAUACCUUGCUGUUUUGACGUUACCAACAGAAUAAGCACCGGCUAACUUCGUG